CAGCUGGUGAUAUCCAAAGACUGAUGCUCUGGACCUGGAUUAAUGAGCUGCUUCAAGAUCCUGCUACCUUGACAUCUCUACCACCAUAAUAAGAUGUAAAAAACUCCAAGGCCACAGCGCAGAUUCACCUCCGUCUAGCUCGAUGACAGUAGUUCCAGCAUAGCCAGUUCCUGCAAUCGAAGAUCA
This 186-nucleotide small RNA is filed under the name Rattus norvegicus (Norway rat). RNAcentral describes it as "uncharacterized LOC108351940". Lineage: Eukaryota; Metazoa; Chordata; Mammalia; Rodentia; Muridae. The record is from RNAcentral.